RNAcentral lists this long non-coding RNA (564 nucleotides) under Gallus gallus (chicken). The record is from RNAcentral. Lineage: Eukaryota; Metazoa; Chordata; Aves; Galliformes; Phasianidae.
UGAGGGAUGAAGAUCCACCCAGGCUGCCCCCACCUCGCUUUUUGAGUCCGUCGGUCUUGGGGUCAUCUUCAGCACUGUCAAGGAAUGGUGUUCGAGGCUCAUCUUCCUCCAGGAUGAACUCUGGGUGAGUCAUGAAGUUAUGGAUGGAGCUUCUGGACUCAGGUUUCUCGAGGCCUUCGUACAAGGAGCUACGGAACGCAUUCACCACCUUGAUCUGUGUUUGUAUCCUGUUGAGACCCCUGAACCACAAGAUCUGCCCACGCCGCAGCUCCAUCUCAGCAUGGUCUAUCUCAUCCACAUCCUCUGGCAGCUCUUCCUCUGGGAUCUCCUCCUUGGUGAUGCCAUGCCCAGCUUCCUUCAGGAACUUCAGGUGGCUGGUGGGGACUGUGCAGAUCAGCUGGCCCCAGAGGAGCUCUCCCACUCCAAUAAAUAUACACCAGAACCACUGGCUCAGGGUGAGCCCAGAGCAGCUGAAUGGCUUCCCACCAAACUCCACAAUGAUGAUCUGGGCUGCAAACGUCCCCAGCACCACUGUGCAGAAGAUGGGGUUGCGGUAGAUGGCCU